Molecule: long non-coding RNA, 910 nt
Organism: Nerophis ophidion (straightnose pipefish)
Lineage: Eukaryota; Metazoa; Chordata; Actinopteri; Syngnathiformes; Syngnathidae
Exons: 6
Source: RefSeq, a predicted model, not a curated record
GGGAGGGUAGGGGCUGUUUGCGGAUUCAAGAAGUAGUCUCUUCCCGUUUGAAUGUUAGAUCAAUUUGGGCAAUGCGAUUGAAAGGUUGUUGUAUCUAGAUUGGUCAACCAAAGCUUUGGUAAUAAAAUAUAAAAAUGAGCAACUCUGCCUGGGAUUCAUUUAUAACCAGCUUAUGUGUCAUCUAACGAAUCUGGGGGGUGACCAGCAGAAAAUUAAGGUCAGAACACAACAAUUGGGGGCUUUCGUCCGGGAUGACACGCUGAGAAUUGGACUUCUCUUGCAACCUUCCGGACAGACCCACUUGGCCAACACAAAAAUCAAGGCCAUCCAUUGCUAUGUCUCACUCCGUCUCCAGCUAGUUAGCUGCUAAGCUAAUGAAGCUAGCGGAGAAAGACAGCGCCGGUCUGAAGGAAGCUACUCCCCCGCCACCAUGACCACCACUUCCCGAAGACAGCUGGCACUCCAUUCGGCGACAGAAAAUUCUGUGCCAUUUUGGUAACCUCAGCUGACCCCACAUAACCUCACUGUUAGUUGUUCUGCAUCGAUCUCCAUGGUUUUCCAAGCAAGACUGCGAUGUCCUUGUCUUCUUUUCACUUCACCCAAGCGGUAACCAUGGAGGAGUUCCACAAGGGGGCGUAGCUAUGUGGUCCCUGUCAAAGCAGGGGAGGUCGAGGCGAUCCCGAAAGGAGUCGAGGCACACAGCUCGAUCACAGGAGAACACGGGAAGCAUAAGAUCCAGGUGUGCUGAUCGCCCACAGCAUUGCCAGCGUGUGGGCGUGAUGUGGCCAGUGUGAGCAGGGGCAUAUCCUGGUUUGCUGCCAACACAGGAGCUGGCAGCCCUUGAUGCAGAGGACAAGUGGGAUCGAGCCCGCACCUUGACAAUUUAAGUGAAUAAAGAGUUAUAUGUUUA